Molecule: long non-coding RNA, 1327 nt
Organism: Eufriesea mexicana
Lineage: Eukaryota; Metazoa; Arthropoda; Insecta; Hymenoptera; Apidae
Exons: 3
Source: RefSeq, a predicted model, not a curated record
CUCUGGCAGUUCUCGGGUGAAAUCGAAUCGAAACGUUCACAUAACCAGUAGCGCCGCGAUCGUGUUUCAACGUGCGUGGGAUCGAAAUGAUUCCCGAAGAAAAACGCGGCUUUCCACCUCGUCCUCGUAAUAAGGAAGUCCUUAACAGGUCUUAAUGAUAUUAAUUAGAAACGGGAAUAUUUUGUGUCUAAGAUUCACCACCGGUUGCACUAGACGACUUUAGGUUAUGUAACACGCGUUCGUAUUGCAACACGCAGAUUCUGUAUAUAAUCGCACAAUCCUUGUUUCCUAUCUUCGAUUUCGCUAUCUUUCUCUUCCAUCUCUGUUCUUUUCUCUGUCUUUUUUCCGUGUUUCUCUCUCCCUCAUUCGUCUUCUGUUAUUGUACUAUCAAGUUUCGCCACGAUGUCCGUGAAACGUGCUCAAUCGUAGAAAAUCCGAGCACCGUGAAAUCCUCUAUGUGCGGUGGUUCGUGUCGAUUCUCAAGCGAUGGAAAACUGACCAGUGUGGAGAUACUGUAAAGGGAUUUAACGGUGUUCAUAACUGGACAGCUGAUAAUGAAGAAAUCUAUAAUCACUCUGCACAACAGCCAAAGCCAAAAUUUUCGUGCAAUUAAAUUUCUGAAGGAACAUCGCGUUAAAAUCUUCUGUUUUUAACAACAGUAAGGAAAAGAUGUUUCUGCAACGACGAACAACAAUACUGCAUACAACAGAUGGCAUAAUUUGUGUCCCGAGUAGGGCCUCACUGGUUACGGGAACAAUAGCGCGUACACAGUUAAGCUGGAUAUACUGUAGAAGGCGCUAGUUGCGGGACAUCGCAUCGUGUGGAAUUUAACUCUUCUGAGAUCAAGAGUCUCGCAAAAUCGUGCAUCCGGCCGCGUUUCAGGAUUGAAAAUACCUCGCUGACUGUAAAUAAACUUUCGCCACGAGAGACGCCUCACAAUGCCACCACCGGGGAAGAGUCCCAGUACGAGUGUGUGUACGUGUAUGUCCUCAAUUUCACAAACGUUUGGCAUAGAUUCGUGAUUUCUCUCCAGUCUACGGAUCGAUGGAUCUCGCGGAGAUCAAUGCAAAUCGAUAUUCAGAGAAUGAUGAAUUAAUUGGCUUUUCAAAUUCUUGGAUGCGUUAAAUUAAUCAUGUUUUAUGACACAGAAUUAUUCCAAUGCAGGAUUCCGGUUAUAAUGACAUACUAAUAAAAUUAUCUUACGAAACGUUGGAAUACUUUUUCCAAAACAACACGACUUACACUCGGAAGCCUCAAUUUUAAUAAUUACACGAUACUUUAAGUCUUGUAAUCGAGGUCUUAUAAUUCUUGAAAGUUAUUAAAUUGC